CACACCGCCCGUCGCUACUACCGAUUGAAUGGUUCAGUGAGGCGUUGGGACUGGCCUAGGGAGGUCGGCAACGACCACCCAGGGCCGGAAACUUCUCCAAACUCGAUCAUUUAGAGGAAGUAAAAGUCGUAACAAGGUCUCCGUUGGUGAACCAGCGGAGGGAUCAUUGCUGGAAUAAACGCCCUCACGGGUGCUACCCAGAAACCCUUUGUGAAUUAUACCAAACCGUUGCCUCGGCAUUAGCUGAAUCUUUUCAAGGGAUUCCCUUUUUCUUCGGAGAAAGGAGCAGGCUGGUCGGUGGCCCUAUAAACUCUUAUUGUUAAAAUAGUACUCUGAGUAAAACAACUAUAAAUGAAUCAAAACUUUCAACAACGGAUCUCUUGGUUCUGGCAUCGAUGAAGAACGCAGCGAAAUGCGAUAAGUAAUGUGAAUUGCAGAAUUCAGUGAAUCAUCGAAUCUUUGAACGCACAUUGCGCCCGCUGGUAUUCCAGCGGGCAUGCCUGUUCGAGCGUCAUUUCAACCCUCAAAGCUUCGUCUUUGGUGUUGGGGCUUUACCCGUCAAAGGGUAUGCCCUGAAAUACAGUGGCGGGCUCGCUAGAAUUUUGAGCGUAGUAAUUUAUACCUCGUUUGUAAAGACUAGUGGGACUUCUAGCCAGAAAACUCCCCCCAUUUUUUGAAAAAUUGACCUCGGAUCAGGUAGGAAUACCCGCUGAACUUAAGCAUAUCAAUAAGCGGAGGAAAAGAAACCAACAGGGAUUGCCCCAGUAACGGCGAGUGAAGCGGCAACAGCUCAAAUUUGAAAUCUGGCUUCGGCCCGAGUUGUAAUUUGCAGAGGAAGUAUUUGGCGCGGUGCCUUCCGAGUUCCCUGGAACGGGACGCCAUAGAGGGUGAGAGCCCCGUCUGGUUGGACACCAAGCCUGUGUAAUACUCCUUCGACGAGUCGAGUAGUUUGGGAAUGCUGCUCUAAAUGGGAGGUAAAUCUCUUCUAAAGCUAAAUACCGGCCAGAGACCGAUAGCGCACAAGUAGAGUGAUCGAAAGAUGAAAAGCACCUUGAAAAGGGGGUUAAACAGUACGUGAAAUUGUUGAAAGGGAAGCGUUUAUGACCAGACUUGUGCCGUGUGGCUCAUCCGGGGUUCUCCCCGGUGCACUCCACACGGUUCAGGCCAACAUCGGUUCUCGUUGGGGGAUAAGAACAGUAGGAACGUGGCCCUCUUCGGAGGGUGUUAUAGCCUAUUGUACGAUACCUUGAUGGGGACCGAGGACCGCGCUUCGGCUAGGAUGUUGGCGUAAUGGUCAUUAGCGACCCGUCUUGAAACACGGACCAAGGAGUCGUCCAUUAGAGCGAGCGUUUGGGUGUAAAACCCGCACGCGUAAUGAAAGUGAAAUUAGGUGAGAGCUUCGGCGCAUCAUCGACCGAUCCUGAAGUUUACGGAUGGAUUUGAGUAAGAGUUUUAACGGACGGACCCGAAAGACAGUGAACUAUACUUGAAUAGGGUGAAGCCAGAGGAAACUCUGGUGGAGGCUCGCAGCGGUUCUGACGUGCAAAUCGAUCGUCAAAUUUGAGUAUGGGGGCGAAAGACUAAUCGAAC
RNAcentral lists this ribosomal RNA (1590 nucleotides) under Melanconis stilbostoma. Its description in RNAcentral is "eukaryotic LSU rRNA". The stretch from base 683 to 1590 matches the Rfam family "Eukaryotic large subunit ribosomal RNA", at positions 1 to 940 of the family's 3401-position model. The record is from RNAcentral. Lineage: Eukaryota; Fungi; Ascomycota; Sordariomycetes; Diaporthales; Melanconidaceae.